GUGGGGAAUAUUGGGCAAUGGGCGAAAGCCUGACCCAGCGACGCCGCGUGGGGGAAGAAGUCCCUCGGGAUGUAAACCCUUGUUGUACGGGACGAAGGAAGUGACGGUACCGUACGAGGAAGCCCCGGCAAACUACGUGCCAGCAGCCGCGGUAAUACGUAGGGGGCGAGCGUUGUCCGGAAUCACUGGGCGUAAAGCGCACGUAGGCGGGCUGUUAAGUCGGCCGUGAAAGGCACUGGCUCAACCGGUGUUUGUCGGUCGAUACUGGCAGUCUGGAGUAUGGGAGAGGGAACUGGAAUUCCCGGUGUAGCGGUGAAAUGCGUAGAUUUCGGGAGGAACACCAGUGGCGAAGGCGGGUUCCUGGCCCAUGACUGACGCUGAGGUGCGAAAGCCGGGGGAGCGAACGGGAUUAGAAACCCUUGUAGUCC
This 428-nucleotide ribosomal RNA is filed under the name uncultured bacterium. RNAcentral's name for it is "partial 16S ribosomal RNA". It matches the Rfam family "Bacterial small subunit ribosomal RNA", at positions 354 to 796 of the family's 1533-position model. The record is from RNAcentral.